UACGAAGGGGGCUAGCGUUGUUCGGAAUCACUGGGCGUAAAGGGCGCGUAGGCGGCUUUAUAAGUCGGGGGUGAAAGCCUGCGGCUCAACCACAGAAUUGCCUUCGAUACUGUAGAGCUUGAGACCGGAAGAGGUAAGUGGAACUGCGAGUGUAGAGGUGAAAUUCGUAGAUAUUCGCAAGAACACCAGUGGCGAAGGCGGCUUACUGGUCCGGUUCUGACGCUGAGGCGCGAAAGCGUGGGGAGCAAACAGG
Molecule: ribosomal RNA, 253 nt
Filed under: uncultured bacterium
Lineage: Bacteria
Description: partial 16S ribosomal RNA
Rfam family: Bacterial small subunit ribosomal RNA
Source: RNAcentral